GGCAAGAUGGCCGAGUGGUUAAGGCGCUGUGUUAAGGAAUUGGGACCACAAAUCCCAGUCUUCGACCUCGCAGUGGGUAACCGCCUGGGUUCGAGUCCCAGUCUUGUCA
RNAcentral lists this transfer RNA (109 nucleotides) under Microstroma glucosiphilum. RNAcentral describes it as "Pseudomicrostroma glucosiphilum tRNA". It matches the Rfam family "tRNA". From Rfam's summary of the family: Transfer RNA (tRNA) molecules are approximately 80 nucleotides in length. Lineage: Eukaryota; Fungi; Basidiomycota; Exobasidiomycetes; Microstromatales; Microstromataceae. The record is from Rfam by way of RNAcentral.